Molecule: non-coding RNA, 3738 nt
Organism: Coturnix japonica (Japanese quail)
Lineage: Eukaryota; Metazoa; Chordata; Aves; Galliformes; Phasianidae
Source: RefSeq, a predicted model, not a curated record
UCUCUCCCAUUCGCUUCCGCUCCGUUGCCGUCGCCAUUUGGCACAGCCGGGGCUGCCUCUAUGUCUGCUCUAUGUCGGCGGAGCGCUGUGCUCGGGGCUGCCCCACGGGGAUGGGAACGGCCCGUACCGACCUUUCGCCACCAGAGACACUACAUGAAAUCGAAAUGUUUGUUGGACCAAGUCACUACAUCUCUUGAGUACUUUGGUGUUCUACUAUACAGAAACAAGAAACCAUGCACACAAAUUUCAUCUGUUGUACCUGAAAUGACGAUUGGACAGGUACCUAUCAUGUAGUUAACGAAAUGUACAAAAAAAUGUCAUUCUAUGUUCAGAACUGUACUAGUAAACUUGGGCAGCUUUCGGGUACAUUACCUGCAAAAUCCUAGACAAGAUAUAUAUCCUUUUGUUUGAUAUAAAGAUGAUAAAAUAAUUGAUAAAAAUAUAGAAGACAGGCAGAAUCUCCUAGUUAUAUUCUAUAUUAUGAAGAAAAUUGGAUGAUGUAGACAAAUCUAUGAAGUAAUGAAUUAUUACCUAUUGCCAAUGAACUUUAUGAAGAUGCUUAGUUCCACCCAUAAAACAUCCUAGAAUUUGCAUAGCUAGAAACUCACAAUCAAGAAUUUUGAAAGAAUUAUCUGGCAAGCAAAUGGAAACAAUAGGCUUUCCUUGCAAACCAACUUUGGAGCUUGAGUGUGUUCCAGAAGACCAGUAAAUACCUUCAUUUGAAAAGUAUUUGAAAAAUAUGAGGGAUCAUCUACAUUGCUUAGAAGCAAGUUGACCUAAUGCUGACUUGGCAAAUCAGAGUGUAACCUACUUGGGUUACACUCAGCUAAGAAAGGAAACAUUAACAGAAUGUGAUUUAACUGAAUGAAAAAGAUCUUACUAAAAGAAUUACAUAUUCUUUUGUGGCAAUGUAGGUUUGGUACUUCAAGAUAAUGGUCCAGGACUAAUAUAGCAAGACUUGCAUCUAAGUAUGACUUGACCUUGUCCUUUUGUAAAGCAAAAGAAAGGCAACAGGUAAGUGCUACAUGAUGGAGCCAAGCCUUACCGGGAAGAUGAACACAGCAGCUCGAUCACAGGCCUGUAACUCAUUAGAAAAGAAAAAGAUUUUUGAUAGUAGAAGACUUCAACGUACUGAACAAAGGCAUAAUAAGACCUUAUGAGAAGGGAAAAAAAACAACAACAAAAAAAAAAACAGAAAAAAAAAGUAGAAGAGAAUGGCAGUGAAAACCAGCAAAAUAAGGAACAUGAUUUAUCAACCACGGGGCUUUAAAUUGUGCAAGUCUUAAAUCUUUCUUGAAGAUUUAUCUGAAUUACAAACCAGCAAUACUAUCAUUAGUCAUGGCUGAGAUUUCAUUACCAUCUUGUGGGUGACUUUUCUAAAUGAUUUCCAGCCUACAUGAUGUUUCCUUUUAAAGCAAUGAGAAUUUGCAAAAUCCAGCUAAGAAGUGACAACUGAUUCAGCAAAGGACAAGGAGUGCUGCUACAUUCCAGCAAAGACUCAAGAUGCAAACACAGAACUCCAGAGUCAAUAUUUCUUGGGUACAGACAUGGAAACGAAUGGAUUGAAGAAGACAGAAAGAUUUCAGGAAGCUGAAGAGGAAGGACCACAGGAUCUUGCUAGAGAAUAUCCCAUUCCUGCAAGUAGAAGUUAAAUAAUUGAAAUGCUGUCAGCUUGAGAAUACAAAGCUGACAAAGCUGCACUCUGAAACUUGAGGCUUCCUCUUUAUAGUGGCUAACCGUGUAUGGAUGUUAUGUUUUGCAUCCUGCAUGUAGCUACUACACUUUUUCAGUUACCCUGAGGCACUCAGAAUACAUUAAACAGCCUCAACAAUUCAAAGAGGAAGACCUGAUAAAAACUAGGUGACAAUGAGAAUAAAGUAUUUUCCAUUAUUUCUACCCAGACUCCCGUUGCUGGUGUAAACAGAAAUAAGAAAUUCAACUGACUGGAGGAGGGAGGGAGGGAGGGAAAAAAAAGGUCCAGGAAUAAAGUGUCACUUCUGAAACUCAACGGGAAAGCACCUUAAUAAAAGCCAGUUUCUUCCUAUGUGAUAGUAAAAGUUACAGAAACAGCAGCAAACUGCACAACCACAAGCAGUACCUUUGAAAUAAUUGGUAACAAAAGAAUUGUACAGCCUUAAAUACACAGACAUCCCCGUGGCUUGGUAAUAGAUUCCAAGACGAGGAAGGAUAGAAGACAUAAGAAAACUAGAAGACAUAGGAAAACAAUGCAUCAAACGAGGGUAGGUGAUCUCUAGCACCUUUAACACAAAACAAACAAAACAACAACAAAAAAACCUCACAGCACUGCAAGUAAUUUCAACUUGCAAGACAUUCUCCAAGGAAUUCAAGAGGUCAGCCGAACAUCCUUCCCAUUUUCAAAGUUAAUUUUCUUAAUACCAGUCACUGCACCCAAAACAAGUCGAUUUCUCAGACUUCAACGUGAUGCAUACAAGACACAUGAGUGCAAACUGGCAAUUCUGUCAGUUUCUGUCAAUUUCAUAUGGGCAUGUGGAGGAGAGCCGCAGGCAUUAAUAAAUGUAUGCAGCAGAGUCUGGGCUUCACAAAGCAAAUUUCCAAGGUAAGAAAGCUUGUGAACUGAACUGUCUGUGAGGAAAAACAAACAAACAUGUAAGGCAGGAAAAUGUGAAUGAAAACUAUUCUUUAAUUAAAAAAUUAUUAUGUGGCCCAAAAGUCCCAGUUCCACAAAGCUUUGGGUAAAAGCUUGUUCUGGAUUCAGUGAGAGAGUCUGUGAGCAAUAAAAACAACUGAAACAAGGGGGAAAAAAUAGAUAAAAGGCCAAAAUACAACACGUGGAAAAGGGGAAGGCCAGACAACAAGAUAAUAUUAUUAGAUAGAUACAAAAAAAAAAUAGUAAGGAAAGAUUUGUGGCAAGCAAAACUACUAAUAAAAGAAAGGAAUUUUGGAGCUUUCAUUUGUUUUUGUUGGUUUUGGUUGUUGUUUGUUUUUAAAUAAAAAGCAAACAAAGAAAUAUUACUGAUAGUACUGAUCCAUGCUAAAUAAAAAUAUUUAAAUUGCUAGGGACAGGCAAUAAGGAAAUCAGUCAACAAAUACUUCAAGGAAAUCAGUCAACAAAUACUUCAAAUCCAGUACUUGGAAAGAAAAAGAACGUGGCAGUGGCAUGAAAAUAGCAACUUCUUUCAGUACCGUAGUAUCAAAAAAUGAAGACAGCAUCUGCUGGGGACACAUAUUUUUAAGUCAGUAAAGAACCAGUCCUAGAAGGGGUGACCAACGAGCUCUCAAGCCCAACAAGUCCAAUUUUAAUGAAAUGUGGGGUAUUAGAGAAAUACUGUAAGACACAUGACAGCAUUCCCAAAGUGCAAACGAAAGGACUCGGUGUCAUAAUCAGUCUGAGGCAAAAUAAUGGAAAAGCUGUUGAGAUGAAGAAUGAAAGAACGAGUGAAGAAUGAAACCUACAGUCCAAAGGAGAAAAAAAGCAAAAGUAAACGAAAUCCUGGUUUCAUUCUUUGAUGACAUCAUUAUAUGUUUGGUUUAACAAAGGGGACUGCAUAGGUGCAACAUACUUAACUUUUCAUAAGGCAUUGACCUAGCACCAUAAGUCAAGAAGAUUUACUGUACAUAAUCACAUACUAAGAGGAUUAAGAAAUGCCUUCUAGCCUGCAAGUCUCGAAAAGCAGCUAAUAAAAAGUUGCACUGAAUGAUGCUUUUCAAGUUAGUGUAGGUCAGAUGGAUCUGAAAGUAAAAAAAAAAAAAAAAAAA